This 253-nucleotide ribosomal RNA is filed under the name uncultured bacterium. RNAcentral's name for it is "partial 16S ribosomal RNA". It matches the Rfam family "Bacterial small subunit ribosomal RNA", at positions 524 to 776 of the family's 1533-position model. The record is from RNAcentral.
UACAGAGGGGGCAAGCGUUGUUCGGAAUUACUGGGCGUAAAGGGCGCGUAGGCGGCCUGUUAAGUCGAACGUGAAAUCCCCGGGCUCAACCCGGGAACUGCGACCGAUACUGGCAGGCUUGAAUCCGGGAGAGGGAUGUGGAAUUCCAGGUGUAGCGGUGAAAUGCGUAGAUAUCUGGAGGAACACCGGUGGCGAAGGCGGCAUCCUGGACCGGUAUUGACGCUGAGGCGCGAAAGCCAGGGGAGCAAACGGG